AGAUUGAACGCUGGCGGCAGGCCUAACACAUGCAAGUCGAGCGGUAGAGAGGUGCUUGCACCUCUUGAGAGCGGCGGACGGGUGAGUAAUGCCUAGGAAUCUGCCUAGUGGUGGGGGAUAACGUUCGGAAACGGACGCUAAUACCGCAUACGUCCUACGGGAGAAAGCGGGGGACCUUCGGGCCUCGCGCCAUUAGAUGAGCCUAGGUCGGAUUAGCUAGUUGGUGAGGUAAUGGCUCACCAAGGCGACGAUCCGUAACUGGUCUGAGAGGAUGAUCAGUCACACUGGAACUGAGACACGGUCCAGACUCCUACGGGAGCAGCAGUGGGGAAUA
This 334-nucleotide ribosomal RNA is filed under the name uncultured soil bacterium. RNAcentral's name for it is "bacterial SSU rRNA". It matches the Rfam family "Bacterial small subunit ribosomal RNA", at positions 26 to 363 of the family's 1533-position model. The record is from RNAcentral.